This 393-nucleotide ribosomal RNA is filed under the name uncultured bacterium. RNAcentral describes it as "bacterial SSU rRNA". It matches the Rfam family "Bacterial small subunit ribosomal RNA", at positions 28 to 419 of the family's 1533-position model. The record is from RNAcentral.
GAUGAACGCUAGCGGCAGGCUUAACACAUGCAAGUCGAGGGGUAGAGGAAGCUUGCUUCCUUGAGACCGGCGCACGGGUGCGUAACGCGUAUACAAUCUACCUUUUACAGAGGGAUAGCCCCAGAGAAAUUUGGAUUAAUACCUCAUAGUAUUUUCGGAUCGCAUGAUUUGAUUAUUAAAGUUCCAACGGUAAAAGAUGAGUAUGCGUCCCAUUAGCUAGAUGGUAAGGUAACGGCUUACCAUGGCAAUGAUGGGUAGGGGUCCUGAGAGGGAGAUCCCCCCACACUGGUACUGAGACACGGACCAGACUCCUACGGGAGGCAGCAGUGAGGAAUAUUGGACAAUGGGCGCAAGCCUGAUCCAGCCAUGCCCGCGUGCAGGAUGACGGUCCUA